UGGGGAAUAUUGGUCAAUGGGCGAAAGCCUGAACCAGCAAUGCCGCGUGAGUGAUGAAGGCCUUCGGGUUGUAAAGCUCUGUCAGCGGGAACGAAGAAGCCGGUUAAUACCCGGUGGUGACGGUACCCGCAAAGGAAGCACCGGCUAACUCUGUGCCAGCAGCCGCGGUAAUACAGAGGGUGCAAGCGUUGUUCGGAAUUACUGGGCGUAAAGCGCGUGUAGGCGGUUUGGUAAGUCGGUUGUGAAAGCCCUGGGCUUAACCCAGGAACUGCAUUCGAAACUGCCGGACUAGAGUAUCGGAGGGGAUGGCGGAAUUCCCGGUGUAGAGGUGAAAAUUCGUAGAUAUCGGGAGGAACGACCUGUGGCGAAGGCGGCCAUCUGGAAGAUUACUGACGCUGAGACGCGAAAGCGUGGGGAGCAAACAGGAUUAGAUACCCUGGUAGUCCACGCCGUAAACGAUGAGUGCUAGGUGUUGCGGGUAUGACCCCUGCAGUGCC
This 497-nucleotide ribosomal RNA is filed under the name uncultured Pseudomonadota bacterium. RNAcentral's name for it is "bacterial SSU rRNA". It matches the Rfam family "Bacterial small subunit ribosomal RNA", at positions 355 to 847 of the family's 1533-position model. The record is from RNAcentral. Lineage: Bacteria; Pseudomonadati; Pseudomonadota.